AUUGAACGCUGGCGGCAUGCUUUACACAUGCCAGUCGAACGGCAGCGCGGGCUUCGGCCUGGCGGCGAGUGGCGAACGGGUGAGUAAUACAUCGGAACGUGCCCAGGAGUGGGGGAUAGCUCGGCGAAAGCCGGAUUAAUACCGCAUACGACCUGAGGGCGAAAGCGGGGGAUCUUCGGACCUCGCGCUAUUGGAGCGGCCGAUGGCAGAUUAGCUAGUUGGUGGGGUAAAGGCCUACCAAGGCGACGAUCUGUAGCUGGUCUGAGAGGACGACCAGCCAGACUGGGACUGAGACACGGCCCAGACUCCUACGGGAGGCAGCAGUGGGGAAUUUUGGACAAUGGGCGAAAGCCUGAUCCAGCAAUGCCGCGUGUGUGAUGAAGGCCUUCGGGUUGGAAAGCACUUUUGGCGGGAACGAAAAGGACUGUGCCAAUACCACGGUUCGAUGACGGUACCCGCAGAAUAAGCACCGGCUAACUACGUG
This 484-nucleotide ribosomal RNA is filed under the name uncultured bacterium. RNAcentral describes it as "partial 16S ribosomal RNA". It matches the Rfam family "Bacterial small subunit ribosomal RNA", at positions 29 to 507 of the family's 1533-position model. The record is from RNAcentral.